ACGUACGCUGGCGGCACGCCUAACACAUGCAAGUCGAACGAAGUAGCAAUACUUAGUGGCAGACGGGUGAGUAACAUGUAGGUAUCUGCCCUUUGGCCUGGAAUAACACGAGGAAACUUGUGCUAAUACCGGAUAAGUCUUUACGGAGAAAGCUUUAUGCACCAUUGGAUGAGCCUGCACUUGAUUAGUUUGUUGGUGGGGUAAUGGCCUACCAAGACUGUGAUCAAUAGCUGAUUUGAGAGGAUGAUCAGCCACAUUGGGACUGAGACACGGCCCAAACUCCUACGGGAGGCAGCAGUGGGGAAUCUUGCACAAUGGAGGAAACUCUGAUGCAGCGAUGCCGCGUGAGUGAAGAAGGCCCUUGGGUUGUAAAGCUCUUUCGUCGGGGAAGAAAAUGACUGUACCCGAAUAAGAAGGUCCGGCUAACUUCGUGCCAGCAGCCGCGGUAAUACGAAGGGACCUAGCGUAGUUCGGAAUUACUGGGCUUAAAGAGUUCGUAGGUGGUUGAAAAAGUUAGUGGUGAAAUCCCAGAGCUUAACUCUGGAACUGCCAUUAAAACUUUUCAGCUAGAGUAUGAUAGAGGAAAGCAGAAUUUCUAGUGUAGAGGUGAAAUUCGUAGAUAUUAGAAAGAAUACCAAUUGCGAAGGCAGCUUUCUGGAUCAUUACUGACACUGAGGAACGAAAGCAUGGGUAGCGAAGAGGAUUAGAUACCCUCGUAGUCCAUGCCGUAAACGAUGUGUGUUAGACGUUGGAAAUUUAUUUUCAGUGUCGCAGGGAAACCGAUAAACACACCGCCUGGGGAGUACGACCGCAAGGUUAAAACUCAAAUGAAUUGACGGGGACCCGCACAAGUAGUGGAGCAUGUGGUUUAAUUCGAAGAUACGCGCAGAACCUUACCAACACUUGACAUGUUCGUCGCGACUCUAAGAGAUUAGAGUUUUCGGUUCGGCCGGACGAAACACAGGUGCUGCAUGGCUGUCGUCAGCUCGUGUCGUGAGAUGUUGGGUUAAGUCCCGCAACGAGCGCAACCCUCACUUUUAGUUGCCAUCAUUAAGUUGGGCACUCUGAAAGAACUGCCAGUGAUAAGCUGGAGGAAGGUGGGGAUGACGUCAAGUCCUCAUGGCCCUUACGUGUUGGGCUACACACGUGCUACAAUGGUAUUUACAACAGGAAGCAAGACUGCGAAGUUAAGCAAAUCCCUAAAAGAUACCUCAGUUCGGAUUGCACUCUGCAACUCGAGUGCAUGAAGCUGGAAUUACUAGUAAUCGUGGAUCAGCGUGCCACGGUGAAUGCGUUCCCGGGUCUUGCACACACCGCCCG
Molecule: ribosomal RNA, 1320 nt
Filed under: uncultured Alphaproteobacteria bacterium
Lineage: Bacteria; Pseudomonadati; Pseudomonadota; Alphaproteobacteria
Description: bacterial SSU rRNA
Rfam family: Bacterial small subunit ribosomal RNA
Source: RNAcentral